RNAcentral lists this long non-coding RNA (829 nucleotides) under Nicotiana tabacum (common tobacco). RNAcentral describes it as "long non-coding RNA (NTAB_LNC005203)". The record is from RNAcentral. Lineage: Eukaryota; Viridiplantae; Streptophyta; Magnoliopsida; Solanales; Solanaceae.
CCAAUAUAAACAAUCUGCCUUCACACAAUUAUCACAAAUGAAGCUAGACAUAAGUAAUAGAAGCUCAACGCUUAUGUUUAUCCAAUUUUUACUUGUUAAUCUCCAACGUAUUUGAAUUUCAAGAAAAAGGGACAAAGUAAUAUUAGUUGAUACAACUCAAAAACUGAUUAAGAAUAUAGGGAAAUAACUAAUAGGGAGACAUAUGCUACAACGAUACAAAAAUUUACUGAAUACCUGCAAAAUCAACCAAAACAACCAAACAUUAAAAUGGUGUAGAAACUGAACCAAGCUACAAAUCUGCAGUCACAAAUGAGAAAACCAAAAACUAAAAAUUAAGCAAAAUCAAAAUAGAGAUCAUAUUGCCAGAAUUAUACACGACCAAGCUAACACAUGCAGCACAAAGAGCAACUUGAUAAAAAUCACAGAAAAUGAUGGCCGAAAUUUUUUAAGUGAAACAGGACUGAGCACAUGCAGCGCAAAAAGUUAUCCAAAUUUAAAUGCGGUAUAAAUUCAGUGACUCCCUUGCUAAUUAGUAGGGAGAAAACUGAAACUUCAGAAAAAAUUCCAAAAGAAACCAAAAAAAAAGGACUAAGCGGAGAAGCAGAAGAUUGAGCAGAAAUAGAAGUAGAGAAAAGAGGAAAACUCACCGGAAGAAGGAAGAACGACAGAAGAGAGAAACCAAAUAAUACACCCAGGCAUUAGAAAGAACAUCGGAACUAUCGAAAAGCAUAGAUCAUUCUCAAUUACCAGAACAUUUCAAUUACCAUAAUUUCCUUUCAUCAUCUAUCUAUAAUCUAUAAGGAAUCUUUUUAGCUAAAAGUCAAAUUAC